AUGCAUACAGAAGAGUGCAUUGUGAGGUCCAGGAGCAAUGCAGAGAUGCACAGCGGAUUGCAACCUAGUAAUGCACACAGAAGAGUGCAUCGGGAGGUCCAGGAGCAAUGCAGUAAUGCACACAGAAGAGUGCAUCGGGAGGUCCAGGAGCAAUGCAGAGAUGCACAGGAGAUUAAAACUAGUAAUGCACACAGAAGAGUGCAUCGGGAGGUCCAGGAGCAAUGCAGAGAUGCACAGGAGAUUAAAACUAGUACUGCACACAGAAGAGUGCAUCGGGAGGUCCAGGAGCAAUGCAGAGAUGCACAGGAGAUUAAAACUAGUAAUGCACACAGAAGAGUGCAUCGGGAGGUCCAGGAGCAAUGCAGAGAUGCACAGGAGAUUAAAACUAGUAAUGCACACAGAAGAGUGCAUCGGAGGUCCAGGAGCAAUGCAGAGAUGCACAGGAGAUUAAAACUAGUAAUGCACACAGAAGAGUGCAUCGGGAGGUCCAGGAGCAAUGCAGAGAUGCACAGGAGAUUAAAACUAGUAAUGCACACAGAAGAGUGCAUCGGGAGGUCCAGGAGCAAUGCAGAGAUGCACAGGAGAUUAAAACUAGUAAUGCACACAGAAGAGUGCAUCGGGAGGUCCAGGAGCAAUGCAGAGAUGCACAGGAGAUUAAAACUAGUAAUGCACACAGAAGAGUGCAUCGGGAGGUCCAGGAGCAAUGCAGAGAUGCACAGGAGAUUAAAACUAGUAAUGCACACAGAAGAGUGCAUCGGGAGGUCCAGGAGCAAUGCAGAGAUGCACAGGAGAUUAAAACUAGUAAUGCACACAGAAGAGUGCAUCGGGAGGUCCAGGAGCAAUGCAGAGAUGCACAGGAGAUUAAAACUAGUAAUGCACACAGAAGAGUGCAUCGGGAGGUCCAGGAGCAAUGCAGAGAUGCACAGGAGAUUAAAACUAGUAAUGCACACAGAAGAGUGCAUCGGGAGGUCCAGGAGCAAUGCAGAGAUGCACAGGAGAUUAAAACUAGUAAUGCACACAGAAGAGUGCAUCGGGAGGUCCAGGAGCAAUGCAGAGAUGCACAGGAGAUUAAAACUAGUAAUGCACACAGAAGAGUGCAUCGGGAGGUCCAGGAGCAAUGCAGAGAUGCACAGGAGAUUAAAACUAGUAAUGCACACAGAAGAGUGCAUCGGGAGGUCCAGGAGCAAUGCAGAGAUGCACAGCGGAUUGCAACCUUACCGAAAGGGACUUUUCCUGCAUCAUGACCUGGCAGUGAUGGGUGCGCAAGGGGAAGAAAGCCAGUGA
This 1284-nucleotide long non-coding RNA is filed under the name Sarcophilus harrisii (Tasmanian devil). RNAcentral describes it as "lncRNA (ENSSHAG00000024734.1)". Lineage: Eukaryota; Metazoa; Chordata; Mammalia; Dasyuromorphia; Dasyuridae. The record is from RNAcentral.